AUUGAACGCUGGCGGCAUGCCUUACACAUGCAAGUCGAACGGCAGCGCGGGGCAACCUGGCGGCGAGUGGCGAACGGGUGAGUAAUAUAUCGGAACAUACCCUACGAGUGGGGGAGUAACGUAGCGAAAGUUACGCUAAUACCGCAUACGCACUAAGGUGGAAAGUAGGGGGAGUCUUCGGACCUCAUGCUCAUGGAGUGGCCGAUAUCUGAUUAGCUAGUUGGUGAGGUAAAGGCUCACCAAGGCGACGAUCAGUAGCUGGUUUGUAGAGAACGACCAGCCACACUGGAACUGAGACACGGUCCAGACUCCUACGGGAGGCAGCAGUGGGGAAUUUUGGACAAUGGGGGGCAACCCUGAGUCCAGCAAUGCCGCGUGAGUGAAGAAGGCC
This 391-nucleotide ribosomal RNA is filed under the name uncultured bacterium. RNAcentral describes it as "bacterial SSU rRNA". It matches the Rfam family "Bacterial small subunit ribosomal RNA", at positions 30 to 416 of the family's 1533-position model. The record is from RNAcentral.